GAUGAACGCUGGCGGCGUGCCUAAUACAUGCAAGUCGAGCGAACAGACGAGGAGCUUGCUCCUCUGACGUUAGCGGCGGACGUGUGAGUAACACGUGGAUAACCUACCUAUAAGACUGGGAUAACUUCGGGAAACCGGAGCUAAUACCGGAUAAUAUAUUGAACCGCAUGGUUCAAUAGUGAACGACGGCUUUGCUGUCACUUAUAGAUGGAUCCGCGCCGCAUUAGCUAGUUGGUAAGGUAACGGCUUACCAAGGCAACGAUGCGUAGCCGACCUGAGAGGGUGAUCAGCCACACUGGAACUGAGACACGGUCCAGACUCCUACGGGAGGCAGCAGUAGGGAAUCUUCGGCAAUGGGCGAAAGCCUGACGGAGCAACGCCGCGUGAGUGAUGAAGGUCUUCGGAUCGUAAAACUCUGUUAUGAGGGAAGAACAAAUGUGUAAGUAUAUAUGCACGUCUUGACGGUACCUAAUCAGAAAGCCCCGGCUAACUACGUG
Molecule: ribosomal RNA, 497 nt
Filed under: uncultured bacterium
Lineage: Bacteria
Description: partial 16S ribosomal RNA
Rfam family: Bacterial small subunit ribosomal RNA
Source: RNAcentral